Rhipicephalus microplus (southern cattle tick) is the source of this 208-nucleotide long non-coding RNA. The record is from RefSeq and is a predicted model, not a curated record. NCBI's taxonomy places the organism in Eukaryota, Metazoa, Arthropoda, Arachnida, Ixodida, Ixodidae.
AGACUGUUGUGCUUUGAAAAACAUUACCCUUGCUUGCGACGAACGGAUUUCACUUCGCACGAGCCCAAUAUAAUGCAGCUGAAACUGAUAUUCGGGUACUUCCUGUUUUUACAAAUGAUCCUGUUAGCUUCCGCUGGAAAUGCUUGUAGCCAAGCGUGGGCAGCCUGUCCCGAAGGUGAUACUUCCCAUUGCAAAGAUAACAAUAAGG